GCUGGGCACGGUAGUGCAUGCCAGUUGUCCUAGCUCCUUGGGAGGCUGAGGCAGGAGGAUCACUUGAGCCCACAAGUUGGAGACCAGCCUAGGCAACAAAGCAAGACCCCAUCUCAA
RNAcentral lists this small RNA (117 nucleotides) under Marmota monax (woodchuck). Lineage: Eukaryota; Metazoa; Chordata; Mammalia; Rodentia; Sciuridae. The record is from RNAcentral.